Molecule: transfer RNA, 70 nt
Filed under: Canis lupus familiaris (dog)
Lineage: Eukaryota; Metazoa; Chordata; Mammalia; Carnivora; Canidae
Also listed under: 1 other name
Rfam family: tRNA
About the family: Transfer RNA (tRNA) molecules are approximately 80 nucleotides in length. Their secondary structure includes four short double-helical elements and three loops (D, anti-codon, and T loops). Further hydrogen bonds mediate the characteristic L-shaped molecular structure. tRNAs have two regions of fundamental functional importance: the anti-codon, which is responsible for specific mRNA codon recognition, and the 3' end, to which the tRNAs corresponding amino acid is attached (by aminoacyl-tRNA synthetases). tRNAs cope with the degeneracy of the genetic code in two manners: having more than one tRNA (with a specific anti-codon) for a particular amino acid; and 'wobble' base-pairing, i.e. permitting non-standard base-pairing at the 3rd anti-codon position.
Source: Rfam by way of RNAcentral
UAAUAUGUAGUUUAAUGGCAAAAACUAUUGGUUUAUGAUCAAUACUUAGUGAUUUAAACUAUCAUAUUUA